GUGGCGCACGGGUGCGUAACGCGUGGGAACGUACCUCUAGGUACGGAACAACCCAGGGAAACUUGGGCUAAUACCGUAUAAUAUCUUCGGAUCAAAGAUUUAUCGCCUAGAGAUCGGCCCGCGUAGGAUUAGCUAGUUGGUGAGGUAAUGGCUCACCAAGGCUACGAUCCUUAGCUGGUCUGAGAGGAUGACCAGCCACACUGGAACUGAGACACGGUCCAGACUCCUACGGGAGGCAGCAGUGAGGAAUAUUGGACAAUGGGGGAAACCCUGAUCCAGCCAUGCCGCGUGAGUGAUGAAGGCCUUCGGGUUGUAAAACUCUUUUAGAUGUGACGAUGAUGACGGUGACAUCAGAGAAAGCUCCGGCUAACUUCGUGCCAGCAGCCGCGGUAAUACGAAGGGAGCGAGCGUUGUUCGGAAUCACUGGGCUUUAAGCGUGCGUAGGCGGAUUAGUAAGUCAGGAGUGAAAUCCCAGGGCUUAACCCUGGAACUGCUCUUGAGACUGCUAGUCUGGAAUUCGGUAGAGGUUGGUGGAACUCCCAGUGUAGAGGUGAAAUUCGCAGAUAUUGGGAAGAACACCGGUGGCGAAGGCGACCAACUGGACCGAUAUUGACGCUGAGGCACGAAAGCGUGGGUAGCAAACAGGAUUAGAUACCCUGGUAGUCCACGCUGUAAGCCAUGUAUGCUAGCUGUUGGAGUCCUCAGGGCUUCGGCGGCGGAGGGAAACCAUUAAGCAUACCGCCUGGGGAGUACGGUCGCAAGAUUAAAACUCAAAGGAGUUGACGGGGACCCGCACAAGCGGUGGAGCAUGUUGUUCAAUUCGAAGCAACGCGAAGAACCUUACCUACCCUUGACAUAUCCCUUAGGGCUGCCAGAGAUGGCGGUUUUCGGUUCGGCCGGGGGGAAUACAGGUGCUGCAUGGCUGUCGUCAGCUCGUGUCGUGAGAUGUUGGGUUAAGUCCCGCAACGAGCGCAACCCUCAUUGUCUGUUGCCAUCAGGUUAAGCUGGGCACUCUGACAAGACUGCCGGUGACAAGCCGGAGGAAGGCGGGGAUGACGUCAAGUCAUCAUGGCCCUUACGGGUAGGGCCACAAACGUGCUACAAUGGCGGUGACAGUGGGCACCGAGGCCGCGAGGCCAAGGCAAUCCCAAAAAGCCGUCUCAGUUCAGAUUGUAGUCUGCAACUCGACUACAUGAAGCUGGAAUCGCUAGUAAUCGUGGAUCAGCACGCCACGGUGAAUACGUUCCCGGGUCUUGUACACACCGCCCGUCACGUCAUGGAAGUUGGUUCUACCUGAAGACAGUGCGCUAACCGCAAGGAGGCAGCUGGCCACGGUAGGGUCGAUGACUGGGACGAAGUCGGAACAAGGUA
RNAcentral lists this ribosomal RNA (1371 nucleotides) under metagenome. Its description in RNAcentral is "bacterial SSU rRNA". It matches the Rfam family "Bacterial small subunit ribosomal RNA". The record is from RNAcentral.